RNAcentral lists this ribosomal RNA (1494 nucleotides) under uncultured rumen bacterium. RNAcentral describes it as "bacterial SSU rRNA". It matches the Rfam family "Bacterial small subunit ribosomal RNA". The record is from RNAcentral.
AGAGUUUGAUCCUGGCUCAGGAUGAACGCUAGCUACAGGCUUAACACAUGCAAGUCGAGGGGCAUCAUGGCGGUUGCUUGCAACCGCUGAUGGCGACCGGCGCACGGGUGAGUAACGCGUAUCCAACCUGCCCCUGUCCUCGGGAUAGCCCGCCGAAAGGCGGAUUAAUACCGGAUGCUGUCACAAGACGACAUCAGAUUGUGACGAAAGGUUUUUUUUCCGGACAGGGAUGGGGAUGCGUCCGAUUAGGCAGGCGGCGGGGCAACGGCCCACCGCGCCGACGAUCGGUAGGGGUUCUGAGAGGAAGGUCCCCCACAUUGGAACUGAGACACGGUCCAAACUCCUACGGGAGGCAGCAGUGAGGAAUAUUGGUCAAUGGGCGAUGGCCUGAACCAGCCAAGUAGCGUGAGGGACGACGGCCCUACGGGUUGUAAACCUCUUUUUCGCGGGGAUAAAAUGCGGGACGCGUCCCGCCUUGCAGGUACCGCGUGAAUAAGGACCGGCUAAUUCCGUGCCUGCAGCCGCGGUAAUACGGAAGGUCCGGGCGUUAUCCGGAUUUAUUGGGUUUAAAGGGAGCGUAGGCGGCAUGUUAAGCGUGCUGUGAAAUGCGUCGGCUCAACCGCCGCAGUGCAGCGCGAACUGGCUUGCUUGAGUUCGCUGAAGGAAGGCGGAAUUCGUGGUGUAGCGGUGAAAUGCUUAGAUAUCACGAAGGACCCCGAUUGCGAAGGCAGCUUUCCGUAGCGUUACUGACGCUGAAGCUCGAAGGUGCGGGUAUCGAACAGGGUUAGAUACCCUGGUAGUCCGCACGGUAAACGAUGGAUGCCCGCUGUCGGCCUUUCUGGCCGGUGGCCAAGCGAAAGCGUUAAGCAUCCCACCUGGGGAGUACGCCGGCAACGGUGAAACUCAAAGGAAUUGACGGGGGCCCGCACAAGCGGAGGAACAUGUGGUUUAAUUCGAUGAUACGCGAGGAACCUUACCCGGGCUUGAACUGCGGUGGAAGUUGCGAGAGAUCGCUUCGCCCUUCGGGGCCGCCGUGGAGGUGCUGCAUGGUUGUCGUCAGCUCGUGCCGUGAGGUGUCGGCUUAAGUGCCAUAACGAGCGCAACCCCUCUCCGUAGUUGCCAUCGGGUUAUGCCGGGCACUCUGCGGACACUGCCACCGCAAGGUGUGAGGAAGGUGGGGACGACGUCAAAUCAGCACGGCCCUUACGUCCGGGGCUACACACGUGUUACAAUGGGGGGCACAGAGGGCAGGUCGUACGCGAGUGCGUCCGAAUCUAUAAAUCCCCCCUCAGUUCGGACUGGGGUCUGCAACCCGACCCCACGAAGCUGGAUUCGCUAGUAAUCGCGCAUCAGCCAUGGCGCGGUGAAUACGUUCCCGGGCCUUGUACACACCGCCCGUCAAGCCAUGAAAGCCUGGGGCGCCUGAAGUCCGUGACCGCGAGGGUCGGCCUAGGGUGAAACAGGUGAUUGGGGCUAAGUCGUAACAAGGUAACC